Molecule: long non-coding RNA, 783 nt
Filed under: Capsicum annuum
Lineage: Eukaryota; Viridiplantae; Streptophyta; Magnoliopsida; Solanales; Solanaceae
Description: long non-coding RNA (CANN_LNC010842)
Source: RNAcentral
GGACCUUCCAUAAUUGAUUUUCGUUGACAAUAAUCUUAAGAAAAUCUGAAUUUGAAAUCCUGAAUAGAAACCUCCACAACGACAAAAUCCAACUCAAUAGCAAGAAAUAACAGUCUGGAAAGAUUCAAAACCAGUGAGAAAGAACUAUUAAGAUCAAACCCGAAUCACAAACGUUAACACAAUUUAAGCACGUAGACCCCAAAGCCCUAUAUCGAAAAUAAACCGCAAAGAUAGAUGAACCCAAAACCCAGCAGCACAACAUAAAAUCAAAACCUAGUGUAGCCUGAGCUCCGGUGAGCUCCGACGAUUGUAUAAAAUGAUGGUGCAAUACAGAUUCUGACGAAUUUCAGUACUUUCGGGCCAUAUUUGCUUGAAAAUCAAAAGAAACAAGGAGAUUUCAGGGAUUUUGAGACUGGGUCGGAUCUAUUCAGCGUACCGGAGCUAAUUUUGGCGAAUAAUUUCUUUGGAAACUUGAAAACUCCACCGGGAAAACUUGAAGAUCGACCGAAAUCCAGUGAUCGUUUCACCGGAUCCCUCUCCAGUCUCCCCAUCUUGAUCACCUCUUUUUUUCCCUAUUUUUCACUGUUUUGCUCUAUUUCUCCCCUCUCCGUCCCAUGUGUUGUGAGUUUGUGUGUCUGAGUGUGUAUUAAGAGUGAAUUUCAGUGUGUGUGUCUAAUUUUGUGUGAAGAUGACAUUUUUUUGGAGCCUCUCCCGUCAAAGAAGGCACCCGAUGAUGGUGCUCCUUUUUUUUCUCUCCGUCCCUCCCCUGAGAAUGUGUAUGUG